UACGAAGGGUGCAAACGUUGCUCGGAAUUAUUGGGCGUAAAGCGCACAUAGGCGGCUUGGCAAGUCGGAUGUGAAAUCCCUCGGCUCAACCAAGGAAGUGCAUCCGAAACUGCCGAGCUUGAGUACUUAAGAGGAUCGCGGAAUUCCCGGUGUAGAGGUGAAAUUCGUAGAUAUUGGGAAGAACACCGGUGGCGAAGGCGGCUCACUGGCUCAUUUCUGACGCUCAGGCGCGACAGCGUGGGGAUCAAACAGG
This 253-nucleotide ribosomal RNA is filed under the name uncultured bacterium. RNAcentral describes it as "partial 16S ribosomal RNA". It matches the Rfam family "Bacterial small subunit ribosomal RNA", at positions 524 to 776 of the family's 1533-position model. The record is from RNAcentral.